Canis lupus familiaris (dog) is the source of this 391-nucleotide long non-coding RNA. RefSeq lists it as uncharacterized. The record is from RefSeq and is a predicted model, not a curated record. The transcript is spliced from 3 exons. NCBI's taxonomy places the organism in Eukaryota, Metazoa, Chordata, Mammalia, Carnivora, Canidae.
UGGAGGAUCUUGAAGAUGAAACAUCUGUAGAUUAUGAAAUAUUUAUAGGAAAACGCUGACAAAUGCAUGGUUGCUUCCUGGUUACUUAGAAAAUUAAAGGUGCUCCUUCAGCAAGUUAAAGUAUAUGAAACAACCAAACGUGGAUUCUAUUUGCUUCCUGUUGGGGAACAUUCAGUUGCAGCCUUACAAUGGUCUACAGGGUGGCAAGGCCCCCACUGGACAUAUUUUCAUUUGGAAUAUCCUUUAAUUCCUUUCUACUCAUAUGGAGAAUAAAAUAACUUUAAAGUACACUGAAAACAGCCUAGAAUCCAUCCCAACAUAGCUGGUAUUGCUCUACUGCCAGUCUUCUACAUGACACUUACGGAGAUUUGCUGUACUUGAAAUCUUCGAA